CGGAGACAGGAGCGACGGCGGCUGUGCAAGGAAUUAGAUCGGGAGGAGCACGAGUUGCGCGUGCUAAGAAAACCUAGGCUCUAAUACCAUGUUAGGAAAGCAACUUGUAUUCCCAUGAGGCCAUAGGCCGGUAUAUAUACAACCUAGGCUCUAAUACCAUGUUAGGAAAGCAACUUGUAUUCCCAUGAGGCCAUAGGCCGGUAUAUAUACA
RNAcentral lists this long non-coding RNA (211 nucleotides) under Hordeum vulgare. Its description in RNAcentral is "long non-coding RNA (HVUL_LNC015527)". The record is from RNAcentral. Lineage: Eukaryota; Viridiplantae; Streptophyta; Magnoliopsida; Poales; Poaceae.